UAGGGAAUUUUCGUCAAUGGGCGCAAGCCUGAACGAGCAAUGCCGCGUGAACGAGGAAGGUCUUCGGAUCGUAAAGUUCUGUUGAAGGGGAAAAAGAGCGGAGAGAGGAAAUGCUUUCUGAUUGAUAUUACCCUUCGAGGAAGUCACGGCUAACUACGUCGCC
RNAcentral lists this ribosomal RNA (163 nucleotides) under uncultured bacterium. RNAcentral describes it as "partial 16S ribosomal RNA". It matches the Rfam family "Bacterial small subunit ribosomal RNA", at positions 355 to 509 of the family's 1533-position model. The record is from RNAcentral.